This 255-nucleotide ribosomal RNA is filed under the name uncultured bacterium. RNAcentral describes it as "partial 16S ribosomal RNA". It matches the Rfam family "Bacterial small subunit ribosomal RNA", at positions 524 to 776 of the family's 1533-position model. The record is from RNAcentral.
GACAGAGGGUGCAAACGUUUGUUCGGAAUUACUGGGCGUAAAGCGCGUGUAGGCGGCCAUCUAAGUCGGGCGUGAAAUCCCACGGCUCAACCGUGGAAGUGCACUCGAAACUGGAUGGCUAGAGUCCUGGAGAGGAAGGUGGAAUGCUUGGUGUAGAGGUGAAAUUCGUAGAUAUCAAGCGGAACACCGGUGGCGAAGGCGGCCUUCUGGACAGUGACGUGACGCUGAGACGCGAAAGCGUGGGGAGCAAACAGG